GAUGAACGCUAGCGAUAGGCUUAACACAUGCAGGUCGAGGGGCAGCAUGGUCUUAGCUUGCUAAGACUGAUGGCGACCGGCGCACGGGUGCGUAACGCGUAUGCAACUUGCCUCACAGAGGGGGAUAACCCGUCGAAAGACGGACUAAUACCGCGUACACUUGGGAUAGGGCAUCCUGACCCAAGGAAAUGAAAUUCGCUGUGAGAUAGGCAUGCGUCCCAUUAGCUAGUUGGUGAGGUAACGGCUCACCAAGGCGACGAUGGGUAGGGGAACUGAGAGGUUGAACCCCCACACUGGUACUGGGGAACGGACCAGACUCCUACGGGAGGCAGCAGUGAGGAAUAUUGGUGAAUGGGCGAGAGCCUGAACCAGCCAAGUCGCGUGAAGGAUGACUGUCUUAUGGAUUGUAAACUUCUUUUAUACGGGAAUAACAAGAGCCACGUGUGGCUCCCUGCAUGUACCGUAUGAAUAAGCAUCGGCUAACUCCGUG
This 490-nucleotide ribosomal RNA is filed under the name uncultured bacterium. RNAcentral's name for it is "partial 16S ribosomal RNA". It matches the Rfam family "Bacterial small subunit ribosomal RNA", at positions 28 to 507 of the family's 1533-position model. The record is from RNAcentral.